Long non-coding RNA from Phacochoerus africanus (Common warthog), 972 nucleotides. RefSeq lists it as uncharacterized. The record is from RefSeq and is a predicted model, not a curated record. Lineage: Eukaryota; Metazoa; Chordata; Mammalia; Artiodactyla; Suidae. The transcript has 2 exons.
GAAGCAGUUGUGGCCGCGGCGGCGCGCGCUGCGAGACAGGAUUGAUUCCCGCGGCCAGCUGCGCGCAACCCAAGGGAAGAGUCGCUUGCCUCUGGGAGUCUCCGGGAUCGCGCUGGAUUAGUGGCAAGAGGCGCGACCGCCGGUGGGGCGAAGGCCCCGAGGCCCCGGCGGCCUCGAGGUGGCUUGUCUGGGCUAGCGGGGCCUGCCCAGCCCCUCCGCCCCCAGUACCCGGGCUGGAAAUGUGAAUUCAAGGCUGCACCCGCCCUGGUCACCUCUAACUGCCAGGGUGACAGUUCCAAAGUUGCUUGAUGGUACCUCCAUUUGCCAAAUCCAACCAGAAGCCAGAAGGUGAGAGAGCCUGGAUGAUGCAGUCCACCAAAGCGAGACUCCCCAGGUCGUAGGCAUCGCAGGGCAGUGUGGACAAGAGAUAAGGAGCAGAAGGCGGAGCGUACUCAGCACUUUUGGAUUAUAAGCAGGAUAAAGGUGCUAAGAAUGUGUGAGGAGGAUUACUGCUGGUGAAAGGGAAACAUUGGUGUUGCACAACAGCCAUAUGAAAUAAAAUCCUACCUGUGCUCAAUGAUGUCUGAUUUUGCAACUAGGGGGUAUACAGUUGACCCUUGAACAAAACAGGCAUUACGGGUGCCACCCUGCGUGAAGUCAAAAACCCAAGGAUACCUUUACAGUCAGCUGUUGUAUCUGCAGUUUCUGCAGCCUCGAACACAGCCAACCAUUGCUAGUGUAGUAUUGCAGUAUAAACUGACAAGAGUCUGAGUACAAGUGGACCCAUGCAGUUCAAACCAGUGUUGCUCAAGAGUCAAUUGCAACUCUAAAGAAAAGCUCUUGUUUAAAAUACUCAUACCAAAAAAAUAAAGCCCUGCCUCUUCACCAUCUCCUCACCUACGGUCACUGACAUAAUAACUAUUUUUUUGUGAUUUAAAUAAAACAUAGUGUAAAUUCACCCUCAGCAAUUUA